Zophobas morio is the source of this 501-nucleotide long non-coding RNA. RefSeq lists it as uncharacterized. The transcript has 2 exons. The record is from RefSeq and is a predicted model, not a curated record. Lineage: Eukaryota; Metazoa; Arthropoda; Insecta; Coleoptera; Tenebrionidae.
CUUGGUUUUUCUAUAAAUAUCCCAAUGUCUAUUCUUUGUUUUGAUUUUGUUGAUAACAGAUCUAGUAUACCAAACAGGGUAAUUUUCCCGCUGACCAAAGGACUUUGAAAUUGGCCAGAGUAGGAUCAGCAGCAUCUAAAACUGGCAACCAGUCAGUCCCAGCAAGUGAUAGGUAGAGCCCUUCCAGAUUACCUUGUGAAAGUUAAAUCUCAAGUCAUCAGUCCCAUGUACAAAUGGUACACUAUCCAGGUUCACUAAUUCCAGUUGUAUAUUUAGAGCAGGAUGAUGAUUAUCCUCUGUAACUAAUGUCAACUCCUGUUUGUCUACAGUUACUGUUAAACUUUCUGUCGUCAGAACUAAAUCUAAUAUUCUGUUGUUGCAAUUGAGAAUGCUGUUGUGUUGAACCAAGUUAUUUAACGCCAGAAACUGUGUGUAGAUGUUAAAUAAUUGGGUUGUCCUUGUACCUGUCACACAUCGCAAUUAAAUAUUUAAUUGAGGUUU